This 497-nucleotide ribosomal RNA is filed under the name uncultured bacterium. RNAcentral describes it as "partial 16S ribosomal RNA". It matches the Rfam family "Bacterial small subunit ribosomal RNA", at positions 28 to 507 of the family's 1533-position model. The record is from RNAcentral.
GAUGAACGCUGGCGGCGUGCCUAAUACAUGCAAGUCGAGCGAACGGACGAGAAGCUUGCUUCUCUGAUGUUAGCGGCGGACGGGUGAGUAACACGUGGAUAACCUACCUAUAAGACUGGGAUAACUUCGGGAAACCGGAGCUAAUACCGGAUAAUAUUUUGAACCGCAUGGUUCAAAAGUGAAAAACGGUCUUGCUGUCACUUAUACAUGGAUCCGCGCUGCAUUAGCUAGUUGGUAAGGUAACGGCUUACCAAGGCAACGAUGCAUAGCCGACCUGAGAGGGUGAUCGGCCACACUGGAACUGAGACACGGUCCAGACUCCUACGGGAGGCAGCAGUAGGGAAUCUUCCGCAAUGGGCGAAAGCCUGACGGAGCAACGCCGCGUGAGUGAUGAAGGUCUUCGGAUCGUAAAACUCUGUUAUUAGGGAAGAACAUAUGUGUAAGUAACUGUGCACAUCUUGACGGUACCUAAUCAGAAAGCCACGGCUAACUACGUG